CGCAAGCCUGACGGAGCAACGCCGCGUGAGGGAGGAAGGCCUGUGGGUUGUAAACCUCUUUUCUCAGGGAAGAAGCUCUGACGGUACCUGAGGAAUCAGCAUCGGCUAACUCCGUGCCAGCAGCCGCGGUAAUACGGAGGAGGCAAGCGUUAUCCGGAAUUACUGGGCGUAAAGCGUCCGUAGGGGGCUCGUCAAGUCUGCUGUCAAAGCUCGGAGCUCAACUCCGACCCGGCAGUGGAAACUGGGGAGCUAGAGGGCGGCAGGGGCAGAGGGAAUUCCCAGUGUAGCGGUGAAAUGCGUAGAGAUUGGGAAGAACACCGGUGGCGAAAGCGCUCUACUGGGUCGCACCUGACCCUCAGGGACGAAAGCUAAGGUAGCG
RNAcentral lists this ribosomal RNA (379 nucleotides) under uncultured cyanobacterium. Its description in RNAcentral is "bacterial SSU rRNA". It matches the Rfam family "Bacterial small subunit ribosomal RNA", at positions 376 to 770 of the family's 1533-position model. Lineage: Bacteria; Bacillati; Cyanobacteriota. The record is from RNAcentral.